UACGUAGGGUGCAAGCGUUGUCCGGAAUUAUUGGGCGUAAAGAGCUCGUAGGCGGUUUGUUGCGUCGGCUGUGAAAUCCCGAGGCUCAACCUCGGGUCUGCAGUCGAUACGAGCAAACUAGAGUGUUGCAGGGGAGACUGGAAUUCCUGGUGUAGCGGUGAAAUGCGCAGAUAUCAGGAGGAACACCGGUGGCGAAGGCGAGUCCCCUGGACAACAC
Molecule: ribosomal RNA, 217 nt
Filed under: uncultured bacterium
Lineage: Bacteria
Description: partial 16S ribosomal RNA
Rfam family: Bacterial small subunit ribosomal RNA
Source: RNAcentral